Molecule: microRNA precursor, 101 nt
Filed under: Daphnia pulex (common water flea)
Lineage: Eukaryota; Metazoa; Arthropoda; Branchiopoda; Diplostraca; Daphniidae
Description: microRNA dpu-mir-285 precursor
Gene: dpu-mir-285
Rfam family: mir-29 microRNA precursor family (bases 13-86)
About the family: This family represents the microRNA (miRNA) precursors mir-29. Animal miRNAs are transcribed as ~70nt precursors and subsequently processed by the Dicer enzyme to give a ~22nt product.
Source: miRBase by way of RNAcentral
ACAGAGGAGCUGGGAUCACUGAAUUCUUUUGAUGCCUAGAUGUAGUUUGUGACUAGAACUCUAGCACCAUUGGAAUUCAGUUUACCCUGGCUGGCGCAAUU